RNAcentral lists this ribosomal RNA (262 nucleotides) under uncultured archaeon. Its description in RNAcentral is "partial 16S ribosomal RNA". It matches the Rfam family "Archaeal small subunit ribosomal RNA", at positions 748 to 1009 of the family's 1478-position model. The record is from RNAcentral.
UAGGCGUAAAUGAUGCGAGUUAAGUGUGGGGGCAUCUACGAGAUGGCCCUGUGCUGUAGGGUAGCCGUUAAACUCGCUGCCUGGGGAGUACGGUCGCAAGGCUGAAACUUAAAGGAAUUGGCGGGGGAGGCACCACAACGGGUGGAGCCUGCGGUUUAAUCGGACUCAACGCCGGGAAUCUCACCGGAUAAGACAGCUGAAUGAUAGUCGGGAUGAAGACUCUACUUGACUAGCUGAGAGGAGGUGCAUGGCGUAGUCGUGU